RNAcentral lists this long non-coding RNA (1411 nucleotides) under Sphaeramia orbicularis (orbiculate cardinalfish). Its description in RNAcentral is "lncRNA (ENSSORG00005011157.1)". The record is from RNAcentral. Lineage: Eukaryota; Metazoa; Chordata; Actinopteri; Kurtiformes; Apogonidae.
GUUUUAGUGUAAAAAAGUAAAAAUUACAUUAUGAAAAUGUUUACAGCUACAAACUAUCCUUCAAAAAAAUAAUAACAUUAACAACCUGAAAUUUCUCAAGAAAAAUAAGGGAAAUUUUACCAGUAUUCUGCCUGUUUAUCAUUUACACAUGUACAUUAUAAUUUACAGACCACAGUGGAUCUACAAAUACAACAAACAUUUAAUAACAGGCUGAAUAUUGUACCUUUAGUACCUUUUACACACUUUAACACUUAAAUUCAUGUUAUCUACUUUUAUAUUUUGUAUUUUUUCCACAUUAUAUCUCUAUUUUAAAUUACUUCAUUUAUUUUCCAAUUUUGCACAUAUUUUAUUGCACCACCAUCUGUCCUAUUUUCUAAUAUAUGUUUAUAUUUUACUGUGUUUUAACUGUAUGUGUGUGUACUGUCACUGGCAGAGACCAACGGCAUUACUCUGUUCUAUUCUGUUCUAUUUUGUUCUAUUCUGUUUCAUUCUAUUUGUUCUGUUCUAUUCUAUUCUGUUCCAUUCUAUUUAUUCUAAUCUAUUUUAUUCCAUUUGUUCUGUUCUGUUUCUUGUAUUCUAUUCUAUUCGUUCUGUUCUUCUCUAUUCUAUUCUGUUCUAUUCUAUUUAUUCUAAUCUAUUUUAUUCCAUUUGUUCUGUUCUGUUUCUUGAAUUCUAUUCUAUUCGUUCUGUUCUAUUCUGUUCUCAUCAGUUCUAUUCUUCUGUUCUGCUCUAUUCUAUUCUGUUCUACUCUAUUCUAUUCUACUCUAUUCUAUUCUGUUCUACUCUAUUCCAUUCUAUUUCUUCUAUUCUAUUCUAUUCUGUUCUACUCUGUUCUGUUCUAUCCUAUUCUAUUCUACUCUAUUCUAUUUCUUCUAUUCUAUUCUAUUCUGUUCUACUCUAUUCUAUUCUACUAUUUUCUAUUCUACUCUUUUCUAUUCUGUUCUAUUCUACUCUAUUCUAUUUCUUCUAUUCUAUUCUAUUUCUUCUAUUCUAUUCUAUUCUAUUCUACUCUAUUCUAUUCUAUUCUAUUCCGUUCUGUUCUAAAUCUGAUGAGUUUAACUGCUCUGCCUUUGUUUCUCUGCGCCUCUUAAACAGCUUUUACAACCGCUGUAUUGUCAACAUUAAUGGAGUUGUGUUUGUUUUCCCUGUGAAUGAAGUAUUGGCGGUGUCCGUUGCCGUAGAAACGGCUGGCUUGUAAUAGUCUCUAAUCAGAUUGCAGAGUGUCUUCCUCCGUAAACAGGCCUGUUCCUUCCUCCUAUAAUCUUGCAUCAAACAUCCUACAGAGAUGGACACAGAAGAGCCAGGGCUGAACCAGGGUUUGGCUCAACGUCAACCAUCAUUUACUGCUUUAACUGGAACACAAUCAACACUAAUGUUACUUUUAUCUACCAGAUACUGAGGGGAACUUUAC